ACUUANUUCUGGCCAAAAAAGUACAAAUACAAAUUCAAAACUUAAAAGACCUGGCGGUGUCCAAAAUCAGCCUAGAGGAGCUUGUUAUAUAAUCGAUAACCCACGUUAAACCUUACCUGCUCUGGCAAAUCCAGCUUGUAUACCGCCGUCGACAGCCCAUUUUCCAAAAAAUAGAGCAACUUUAGCCCCCCUAUGAACGACAGGUCAAGGUGCAGCCUAUGAGGAGGCCAAUAAUGGGCUACACUACUAAACAUAACAAAAACUCCACUGAAACACAGUUGCACGAAGAAGAAUUUAGCAGUAAGAAGAAUAAGAGCGUUCUACUGAACCAGGACAUUGAACACGCACACACCGCCCGUCACCCUCUGCAGUCAAA
This 376-nucleotide ribosomal RNA is filed under the name Phrynocephalus theobaldi (Theobald's toad-headed agama). RNAcentral's name for it is "partial small subunit ribosomal RNA". Lineage: Eukaryota; Metazoa; Chordata; Lepidosauria; Squamata; Agamidae. The record is from RNAcentral.